This 688-nucleotide ribosomal RNA is filed under the name Salmonella enterica subsp. enterica. RNAcentral describes it as "partial 23S ribosomal RNA". It matches the Rfam family "Bacterial large subunit ribosomal RNA", at positions 2255 to 2925 of the family's 2925-position model. The record is from RNAcentral. Lineage: Bacteria; Pseudomonadati; Pseudomonadota; Gammaproteobacteria; Enterobacterales; Enterobacteriaceae.
UGUCUGGUGGGUAGUUUGACUGGGGCGGUCUCCUCCUAAAGAGUAACGGAGGAGCACGAAGGUUGGCUAAUCCUGGUCGGACAUCAGGAGGUUAGUGCAAUGGCAUAAGCCAGCUUGACUGCGAGCGUGACGGCGCGAGCAGGUGCGAAAGCAGGUCAUAGUGAUCCGGUGGUUCUGAAUGGAAGGGCCAUCGCUCAACGGAUAAAAGGUACUCCGGGGAUAACAGGCUGAUACCGCCCAAGAGUUCAUAUCGACGGCGGUGUUUGGCACCUCGAUGUCGGCUCAUCACAUCCUGGGGCUGAAGUAGGUCCCAAGGGUAUGGCUGUUCGCCAUUUAAAGUGGUACGCGAGCUGGGUUUAGAACGUCGUGAGACAGUUCGGUCCCUAUCUGCCGUGGGCGCUGGAGAACUGAGGGGGGCUGCUCCUAGUACGAGAGGACCGGAGUGGACGCAUCACUGGUGUUCGGGUUGUCAUGCCAAUGGCACUGCCCGGUAGCUAAAUGCGGAAGAGAUAAGUGCUGAAAGCAUCUAAGCACGAAACUUGCCCCGAGAUGAGUUCUCCCUGAGACUUAGAGUCUCCUGAAGGAACGUUGAAGACGACGACGUUGAUAGGCCGGGUGUGUAAGCGCAGCGAUGCGUUGAGCUAACCGGUACUAAUGAACCGUGAGGCUUAACCUUACAACGCCGAAG